Long non-coding RNA from Ruditapes philippinarum (Manila clam), 261 nucleotides. RefSeq lists it as uncharacterized. The record is from RefSeq and is a predicted model, not a curated record. NCBI's taxonomy places the organism in Eukaryota, Metazoa, Mollusca, Bivalvia, Venerida, Veneridae. The transcript is spliced from 3 exons.
UCUAUGAUUAUCGUUCGUGCAAAUGGUGGCGCUGUUUGGAUAAUUUGAAAACAACACGAUUGGCAAUUUAUUUGGAUUUCGAAGAUCCUGGUCCUAGCUGAAAUUUAGAGUAUUGCAGCUGUAGCCUGUACACCAAACAUUCAACAUGAAAAGGACUGUCAGGAUGCUGCAUAAAAUGGUCUUAGCUAGAGCCUAGAAUGUUAAUUACUUGGAAAUAUGCUGCAAGGAACUGACGGGGAGCAUUUUUUUAACCAAUCAUAG